RNAcentral lists this ribosomal RNA (713 nucleotides) under uncultured rumen protozoa. RNAcentral's name for it is "bacterial SSU rRNA". It matches the Rfam family "Eukaryotic small subunit ribosomal RNA", at positions 67 to 828 of the family's 1831-position model. The record is from RNAcentral.
AGCCUUCGGGCGGGGUGAACCUAGAUUCAAGGAACGUUCGCUCCCCUCAGUAAACUGCGAAUGGCUCAUUACAACAGUUAAAGUUUAUUUGAUAAACAAAUGGAUAACUGUAAAAUACUAGAGCUAAUACAUGCUUUAAUCGUAAGAGUUGUAUUUAUUAGAUAUUCUGAAUUGGUGAAUCAUAAUAACUUCGCAAAUCUCGUCACCACGACGAUGAUAAAUCAUCCAAGUUUCUGCCCUAUCAUGCUUUCGAUGGUAGUGUAUUGGACUACCAACGGACAACCUGGGCACCAGGGAAUUAGGGUUCGAUACUGGAGAAGGAGCCUGUAAAACGGCUACUACAUCUACGGAGGCAGCAGGCGCGUAAAUUACCCAAUCCUGACUCAGGGAGGUGGUGUCAUGAUAUAACGACGCGGUUAUUAUCGCGAUUGUAGUGAGGGUAUUCUAAACAGAACCUAUAGUACGAUUAGAGGGCAAGUCUGGUGCCAGCAGCCGCGGUAAUUCAGCUCUAAUAGCGUAUAUUAAAGUUGCUGCAGUAAAUGCUCGUAGUUGAUUUCAGGAUUGUAAACUUCACGGGAUCAUCUACUAUCUUCGAUGUACUGGAGAAUAUAAGUGUUAGCAGGUUUCAGAUCAAUACUGAAUCAGGGAAAAGACUGGAUCAAUACCAAUAUGGCCGUGGGUAUAAUACACGUGACGGCAUAAUGGGUGAGGGG